AUUGAACGCUGGCGGCAUGCCUUACACAUGCAAGUCGAACGGCAGCGCGGGGCAACCUGGCGGCGAGUGGCGAACGGGUGAGUAAUAUAUCGGGAACAUACCCUAGAGUGGGGGAUAACGUAGCGAAAGUUACGCUAAUACCGCAUACGCACUAAGGUGGAAAGUGGGGGAUCUUCGGACCUCAUGCUCAUGGAGUGGCCGAUAUCUGAUUAGCUAGUUGGUGAGGUAAAGGCUCACCAAGGCGACGAUCAGUAGCUGGUUUGAGCGAACGACCAGCCACACUGGAACUGAGACACGGGUCCAGACUCCUACGGAGGCAGCAGUGGGGAAUUUUGGACAAUGGGGGCAACCCUGAUCCAGCAAUGCCGCGUGAGUGAAGAAGGGCCUGGGUUGUAAGACGUCUUUGUC
This 408-nucleotide ribosomal RNA is filed under the name uncultured bacterium. RNAcentral describes it as "bacterial SSU rRNA". It matches the Rfam family "Bacterial small subunit ribosomal RNA", at positions 30 to 439 of the family's 1533-position model. The record is from RNAcentral.